GUGGUCUUGGUUUUGGUUAAGGUUUUUUUUUUUUAAAGAAAAAAGGUACAAGGUACAAUGUGCAUUUCAGUAGUUCUAAUCCACUGGGUAACU
Non-coding RNA from Kluyveromyces marxianus DMKU3-1042, 93 nucleotides. Lineage: Eukaryota; Fungi; Ascomycota; Saccharomycetes; Saccharomycetales; Saccharomycetaceae. The record is from the annotation of a RefSeq genome assembly.